This 72-nucleotide transfer RNA is filed under the name Camelus bactrianus (Bactrian camel). It matches the Rfam family "tRNA". From Rfam's summary of the family: Transfer RNA (tRNA) molecules are approximately 80 nucleotides in length. The record is from Rfam by way of RNAcentral. Lineage: Eukaryota; Metazoa; Chordata; Mammalia; Artiodactyla; Camelidae. RNAcentral also lists the same sequence under 3 other names.
GAGAGUAUAGCUCAGUGGUAGAGCACAUGCUUAGCAUGCUCAGGCUCCUGGGUUCACUUCCCAGUGCCUCCA